This is a long non-coding RNA of Bos taurus (domestic cattle), 478 nucleotides long. Lineage: Eukaryota; Metazoa; Chordata; Mammalia; Artiodactyla; Bovidae. The record is from Ensembl.
CACAGCCGCUGGGCAUCGCUACCUGCCAUCUGAAGGACACGGGGAACUGCUGAUCUCAGGCGAUUAGCAUAACAAUCCCCGAUCCCACGUCCUCGGGGCCCAAAGCUGGCCUCCUGGCACUGGAAGGCAGAGAGAGACUUUGGGUGAGAAUGGGCGGAGCACAGGGAUAGAGCAGGGUUCCAGUCCUAACUCUGCUGCUUAUCACCUGUGUGAUCUCGGGGGUGACUGGUACAGUCCCUGACCUUGGAAUAUCCCACAUGCCGUGGAGUAACUAAGCCCAAGCCCAUGAGCCACAACUGCUGAGCCCACCUGCUGCAACUACAGAAGCCCACGAGCCCUAGAGCCUAUGCUUCGCAACAAGGGAAGCCACCACAAUGAGAAGUCCAUGCACCUCAACUAGAGAGUAGCCCCCGCUCUCUGCAACUGGAGAAAAGCCCAUACAUGGCAAAGAGGACCCAGCACAGCUACAGAUAAAUAC